This 1617-nucleotide ribosomal RNA is filed under the name Segatella copri. Its description in RNAcentral is "partial 23S ribosomal RNA". It matches the Rfam family "Bacterial large subunit ribosomal RNA", at positions 1 to 1654 of the family's 2925-position model. The record is from RNAcentral. Lineage: Bacteria; Pseudomonadati; Bacteroidota; Bacteroidia; Bacteroidales; Prevotellaceae.
GGGUUGUGAGGUUAAGCGACUAAGCGUACACGGUGGAUGCCCUGGCAGUCAGAGGCGAUGAAGGACGUGCUAAUCUGCGAUAAGCGUCGGUAAGGUGAUAUGAACCGUUAUAACCGGCGAUUUCCGAAUGGGGAAACCCAGUGUGAUUCGUCACACUAUCAUUAACUGAAUCCAUAGGUUAAUGAGGCGAACCGGGGGAACUGAAACAUCUAAGUACCCCGAGGAAAAGAAAUCAACCGAGAUUCCCCCAGUAGCGGCGAGCGAACGGGGAGGAGCCCAGAGCCUGAAUCAGUGUGUGUGUUAGUGGAAGCGUCUGGAAAGGCGCGCGAUACAGGGUGACAGCCCCGUACACAAAAAUGCACAUGCUGUGAGCUCGAUGAGUAGGGCGGGACACGUGGUAUCCUGUCUGAAGAUGGGGGGACCAUCCUCCAAGGCUAAAUACUCCUGACUGACCGAUAGUGAACCAGUACCGUGAGGGAAAGGCGAAAAGAACCCCGGCGAGGGGAGUGAAAAAGAACCUGAAACCGUGUACGUACAAGCAGUGGGAGCCUCUUAAUGGGGUGACUGCGUACCUUUUGUAUAAUGGGUCAGCGACUUAUAUUCUGUAGCAAGGUUAACCGAAUAGGGGAGCCGAAGGGAAACCGAGUCUUAACUGGGCGUUAAGUUGCAGGGUAUAGACCCGAAACCCGGUGAUCUAGCCAUGGGCAGGUUGAAGGUUGGGUAACACUAACUGGAGGACCGAACCGACUAAUGUUGAAAAAUUAGCGGAUGACUUGUGGCUGGGGGUGAAAGGCCAAUCAAACCGGGAGAUAGCUGGUUCUCCCCGAAAUCUAUUUAGGUAGAGCCUUGAGCGGACACCUUCGGGGGUAGAGCACUGUUUCGGCUAGGGGUCCAUCCCGGAUUACCAACCCGAUGCAAACUGCGAAUACCGAAGAGUGAUACUCAGGAGACACACGGUGGGUGCUAACGUCCAUCGUGGAGAGGGAAACAACCCAGACCGCCAGCUAAGGUCCCAAAGUCUAUAUUAAGUGGGAAACGAGGUGGGAAGGCUUAGACAGCUAGGAUGUUGGCUUAGAAGCAGCCACCAUUUAAAGAAAGCGUAAUAGCUCACUAGUCGAGUCGGCCUGCGCGGAAGAUGUAACGGGGCUCAAAUAUAGCACCGAAGCUGCGGCAUCAGUAGAGAUACUGUUGGGUAGGGGAGCGUUCUGUAAGCGGAUGAAGGUGAAUCGAGAGGUUUGCUGGACGUAUCAGAAGUGCGAAUGCUGACAUAAGUAACGAUAAAGCGGGUGAAAAGCCCGCUCGCCGGAAGACCAAGGGUUCCUGUCCAACGUUAAUCGGGGCAGGGUGAGUCGACCCCUAAGGCGAGGCCGAAAGGCGUAGUCGAUGGGAAACAGGUUAAUAUUCCUGUACUUGGUGUUACUGCGAAGGGGGGACGGAGAAGGCUAUGUUGGCCGGGCGACGGUUGUCCCGGUUUAAGCGUGUAGGCUGGUUUUCCAGGCAAAUCCGGAAAAUCAAGGCUGAGGCGUGAUGACGAGGCACUACGGUGCUGAAGCAACAAAUGCCCUGCUUCCAGGAAAAGCCUCUAAGCAUCAGGUAACAUCAAAUCGUACCCCAAAC